RNAcentral lists this long non-coding RNA (888 nucleotides) under Gallus gallus (chicken). Lineage: Eukaryota; Metazoa; Chordata; Aves; Galliformes; Phasianidae. The record is from RNAcentral.
GCAAACCACUUUCAUCAGCUGUUUGUUUGAUGUUUGCAUUGAAUUUACUGUUGAUGAAAAGUCCCAGUGUAAGGACUAUAUGGACAGCAUCUGUAAAGGCUUUAAUCGCUCUGCUGGACUUAAGUGGUGGACCUUUUUUUGGUUUCUGUUCAGGUUUCAUCGCUCUAAGAGUUCAUUCUGAGGAUGACAGCUUCCAAGAUGUCUCAAAAAGAUAACACCAAACUCUUCUUGGGCUCACUGGGAGAGAAUUCUGACCUCUGAAGAAGUGAUCAAGCCAGAACCUAAGUUAGUAAACCAGAGCCAAAUCUGCUGUUGUGAUAGCAGCUAAAUUCUUCGUGGUGAUUUGCGGCUUCACAGAACGGAAGUUUCUUGCAAAAAUAAGUGAGGAUCACUUAUACUUAAUUCAGGAGUGAGGUCCAGUGAUCUCAGCUGAAUCAUCAAGAAACUUUUACAGCUACUGGAGAAAAUUCCACUCAUCAACUGUGGUGGAUACCGGAGUUUUACCAUUAGGCUGAAUGGAGACAAACUGAAAGUCAACCAAACUAUGAAUCUGUCACACUGGACAUUUCUUGACCACUGAGAACAGUGUGGAAAUGCCCCACAGCCAAGGUAUGGGUAGGUGUUCAGUACUUUUUAAUACAUUGCGUAUACUUGGCAAAGUCCUGUAAGGAAAUACUACUGUGAGCGUGAUCUUGUGAGCGUGAAAAUGCUCAAAAAUGAGAAAAUACGGGCAUUUUGAGAAGAAGGUGGACAGUGGAGCAGGUAUUACAGACCUGCAGAGAAUCUGAAGCACUGAUACGAUGGUGCCUGAGAAAGAGGACAAACAUCUCUGGUGCAAAGAUGCAGACUGGAGCAUUCACUGGUGUAUGAAGAACAGGGAGAUGCAGG